GACGAACCGUGCGAACGUUGUUCGGAAUCACUGGGCUUAAAGGGCGCGUAGGUGGUCUGUCAAGUCGGGGGUGAAAUCUUUCGGCUCAACCGGAAAACUGCCUUCGAUACUGACAGACUAGAGGGAGGUAGGGGUUGCGGGAACUACCAGUGGAGCGGUGAAAUGCGUUGAUAUUGGUAGGAACGCCGGUGGCGAAAGCGCGCAACUGGAGCUCUUCUGACACUGAGGCGCGAAAGCUAGGGGAGCAAACGGG
Molecule: ribosomal RNA, 253 nt
Filed under: uncultured bacterium
Lineage: Bacteria
Description: partial 16S ribosomal RNA
Rfam family: Bacterial small subunit ribosomal RNA
Source: RNAcentral